AGCGAACGCUGGCGGCAGGCUUAACACAUGCAAGUCGAGCGGGCACUUUCGGGUGUCAGCGGCGGACGGGUGAGUAACGCGUGGGAACGUGCCCUCUGGUUCGGAAUAACUCAGGGAAACUUGAGCUAAUACCGGAUACGCCCUUUUGGGGAAAGGCUUGCUGCCGGAGGAUCGGCCCGCGUCUGAUUAGCUAGUUGGUGAGGUAACGGCUCACCAAGGCGACGAUCAGUAGCUGGUCUGAGAGGAUGAUCAGCCACACUGGGACUGAGACACGGCCCAGACUCCUACGGGAGGCAGCAGUGGGGAAUAUUGGACAAUGGGCGCAAGCCUGAUCCAGCCAUGCCGCGUGAGUGAUGAAGGCCUUAGGGUUGUAAAGCUCUUUUAUCCGGGACGAUAAUGACGGUAUCGGAGGAAUAAGCCCCGGCUAACUUCGUG
Molecule: ribosomal RNA, 435 nt
Filed under: uncultured bacterium
Lineage: Bacteria
Description: partial 16S ribosomal RNA
Rfam family: Bacterial small subunit ribosomal RNA
Source: RNAcentral